This 830-nucleotide ribosomal RNA is filed under the name uncultured bacterium. RNAcentral describes it as "bacterial SSU rRNA". It matches the Rfam family "Bacterial small subunit ribosomal RNA", at positions 8 to 829 of the family's 1533-position model. The record is from RNAcentral.
AGAGUUUGAUCUGGCUCAGAGUGAUCGCUGGCGGCGUGCUUAACACAUGCAAGUCGAGCGAAUUCUGGCAGCGUAUCGCCAGAGUUAGCGGCAGACGGGUGAGUAAUACUUGGGUAAUCUACCCUUGAGUGGGAAACAACCUGCCGAAAGGUGGGCUAAUGUCCCAUAAGACCACAGGAUGGCAUCAUCCAGGGGUCAAAGCUCCGCAAGGGGCGCUUGAGGAGGAACCCGAGUCCUAUCAUGGUAGUUGGUGAGGUAACGGCUCACCAAGCCUUUGACGGGUAGCCGGCCUGAAAGGGUGAUCGGCCACACUGGCACUGAGACACGGGCCAGACUCCUACGGGAGGCAGCAGUGGGGAAUUUUGGACAAUGGGGGCAACCCUGAUCCAGCGACGCCGCGUGGAGGACGAAGGUCUUCGGAUUGUAAACUCCUUUUGGAGGGGAUGAAUGCCCUGGUGAAAAGCCAGGGGUGACAGUACUCUCUGAAUAAGCCACGGCUAACUACGUGCCAGCAGCCGCGGUAAUACGUAGGUGGCAAGCGAUACUCGGAAUCACUAGGCGUAAAGCGCAGGUAGGCGGUUCGGUAAGUCUUUUGUGAAAGCUCCCGGCUCAACUGGGAGAGGUCAAAGGAAACUACCGGGCUAGAGUGUGGUAGGGGAUACUGGAAUUCCCGGUGUAGCGGUGAAAUGCGUAGAUAUCGGGAGGAAUACCUAUGGCGAAAGCAGGUAUCUGGGCCAUCACUGACGCUGAGCUGCGAAAGCUAGGGGAGCAAACAGGAUUAGAUACCCUGGUAGUCCUAGCCCUAAACGAUGCUCAUUAGAUGUGGGAGG